Molecule: non-coding RNA, 328 nt
Organism: Pelobates cultripes (western spadefoot toad)
Lineage: Eukaryota; Metazoa; Chordata; Amphibia; Anura; Pelobatidae
Source: the annotation of a GenBank genome assembly
CCACAAUCUCACUAACACACACUGUUAAGUAUACACAUAAUUUCACUGACACUAUUAAGUAUACACACAAUGUCUCACACUCUCACUAACACACACUAUUCAGUAUACACACACACAAUGUCUCACACUCUCACUAACACACACUAUUCAGUAUACACAUACUCUCACUAACACACACUAAUCAGUAUACACACACACAAUCAAUGUCUCACACUCUCACUAACACACACUAUUCAGUAUACACACACACACAAUGUCUCACACUCUCACUAACACACACUAUUCAGUAUACACACACAAUGUCUCACACUCUCACUAACACACACUA